RNAcentral lists this ribosomal RNA (63 nucleotides) under Porella cordaeana. RNAcentral's name for it is "partial 26S ribosomal RNA". It matches the Rfam family "Eukaryotic large subunit ribosomal RNA", at positions 1 to 62 of the family's 3401-position model. Lineage: Eukaryota; Viridiplantae; Streptophyta; Jungermanniopsida; Porellales; Porellaceae. The record is from RNAcentral. RNAcentral also lists the same sequence under 3 other names.
UGGACCUCAGAUCAGGCAAGAUUACCCGCUGAGUUUAAGCAUAUCACUAAGCGGAGGAAAAGA